UACGGAGGGUGCAAGCGUUAUCCGGAUUUACUGGGCGUAAAGGGCGCGUAGGCGGCCAGCACAAGUCAGUUGUGAAAUCUCCGGGCUUAACUCGGAAAGGUCAACUGAUACUGUGCGGCUAGAGUGCAGAAGGGGCAACUGGAAUUCUCGGUGUAGCGGUGAAAUGCGUAGAUAUCGAGAGGAACACCUGCGGCGAAGGCGGGUUGCUGGGCUGACACUGACGCUGAUGCGCGAAAGCCAGGGGAGCGAACGGG
This 254-nucleotide ribosomal RNA is filed under the name uncultured bacterium. RNAcentral describes it as "partial 16S ribosomal RNA". It matches the Rfam family "Bacterial small subunit ribosomal RNA", at positions 524 to 776 of the family's 1533-position model. The record is from RNAcentral.